AAGGAAUAUUGGACAAUGGUGGAAACACUGAUCCAGCCAUGCCGCGUGAAGGAUGACGGCCCUAUGGGUUGUAAACUUCUUUUGUACGGGAAAAAACCUCUUUACGUGUAAAGAGCUGAUUGUACUGUAAGAAUAAGGAUCGGCUAACUCCGUGCCAGCAGCCGCGGUAAUACGGAGGAUCCAAGCGUUAUCCGGAUUCAUUGGGUUUAAAGGGUGCGUAGGCGGAAUGAUAAGUCAGUGGUGAAAGCCUGCAGCUUAACUGCAGAACUGCCAUUGAUACUGUCAAUCUUGAGUACAUUUGAUGUGGGCGGAAUGUGUCAUGUAGCGGUGAAAUGCUUAGAUAUGACACAGAACACCGAUUGCGAAGGCAGCUCACAAAACUGUAACUGACGCUGAGGCACGAAAGCGUGGGUAUCAAAC
Molecule: ribosomal RNA, 420 nt
Filed under: uncultured bacterium
Lineage: Bacteria
Description: bacterial SSU rRNA
Rfam family: Bacterial small subunit ribosomal RNA
Source: RNAcentral